GUACACUCCUACGGGAGGCAGCAGUGGGGAAUAUUGGACAAUGGGCGCAAGCCUGAUCCAGCCAUGCCGCGUGAGUGAUGAAGGCCCUAGGGUUGUAAAGCUCUUUCACCGGUGAAGAUAAUGACGGUAACCGGAGAAGAAGCCCCGGCUAACUUCGUGCCAGCAGCCGCGGUAAUACGAAGGGGGCUAGCGUUGUUCGGAUUUACUGGGCGUAAAGCGCACGUAGGCGGACUAUUAAGUCAGGGGUGAAAUCCCGGGGCUCAACCCCGGAACUGCCUUUGAUACUGGUAGUCUUGAGUUCGAGAGAGGUGAGUGGAAUUCCGAGUGUAGAGGUGAAAUUCGUAGAUAUUCGGAGGAACACCAGUGGCGAAGGCGGCUCACUGGCUCGAUACUGACGCUGAGGUGCGAAAGCGUGGGGAGCAAACAGGAUUAGAUACCCCUGUAGUCCCAUG
Molecule: ribosomal RNA, 452 nt
Filed under: uncultured organism
Description: partial 16S ribosomal RNA
Rfam family: Bacterial small subunit ribosomal RNA
Source: RNAcentral